This 187-nucleotide small nuclear RNA is filed under the name Chelonoidis abingdonii (Abingdon island giant tortoise). RNAcentral's name for it is "U2 spliceosomal RNA (ENSCABG00000008290.1)". It matches the Rfam family "U2 spliceosomal RNA". From Rfam's summary of the family: U2 is a small nuclear RNA (snRNA) component of the spliceosome (involved in pre-mRNA splicing). Complementary binding between U2 snRNA (in an area lying towards the 5' end but 3' to hairpin I) and the branchpoint sequence (BPS) of the intron results the bulging out of an unpaired adenosine, on the BPS, which initiates a nucleophilic attack at the intronic 5' splice site, thus starting the first of two transesterification reactions that mediate splicing. The record is from Rfam by way of RNAcentral. Lineage: Eukaryota; Metazoa; Chordata; Testudines; Testudinidae.
AUAAUUUUAAUAUUGGCUUAAUAAAAAUGUUAAAUCUGUUCUUAUCAGUUUAAUAUCUGAUAUGUCCUUUAUUUGAGGACUGUAUAUUAAAUUGAUUUUUGAGACAGGGAGCUGGAAUAGGAGCAUGCUCUGUCCACACCAUGCACUGACCUGGUAUUGCAGUGCCUCUAGGAAUGGUGCAUCUCCU